GGCAGUGGUGGCUCAGCGGUUAAGACAUUGGACUGCUGCUUGGAUGGUUGAGUUCAAAUCCCAGCACUGUCA
Molecule: non-coding RNA, 72 nt
Organism: Pangasianodon gigas (Mekong giant catfish)
Lineage: Eukaryota; Metazoa; Chordata; Actinopteri; Siluriformes; Pangasiidae
Source: the annotation of a GenBank genome assembly